ACGAUUAUCCCAACCGUGACAGCAAACGCAGAUCAAUGCGUGGGCAAAUCGUUCUUUCAACCUUGUGGAGAUGGUGGUAGAUGUGUAUGCCCGAACCUGAAUAAAAUCACCGAACUUAAUCCUAGUAAAAUAAGGGUGUGCUCGGUUGACACAAAAUUCGUCUGCAAAAGGCCAGAAUGUUUAAGUGUGAGCGGCAGAUUUGUAGAUCCUAAAA
Molecule: long non-coding RNA, 214 nt
Organism: Ruditapes philippinarum (Manila clam)
Lineage: Eukaryota; Metazoa; Mollusca; Bivalvia; Venerida; Veneridae
Exons: 3
Source: RefSeq, a predicted model, not a curated record